RNAcentral lists this ribosomal RNA (450 nucleotides) under uncultured bacterium. RNAcentral describes it as "partial 16S ribosomal RNA". It matches the Rfam family "Bacterial small subunit ribosomal RNA", at positions 354 to 796 of the family's 1533-position model. The record is from RNAcentral.
GUAGGGAAUUUUGGACAAUGGGCGCAAGCCUGAUCCAGCAAUGCCGCGUGUGUGAAGAAGGCCUUCGGGUUGUAAAGCACUUUUGUCCGGAAAGAAAUCUCCUGGGUUAAUACCUCGGGGGGAUGACGGUACCGGAAGAAUAAGCACCGGCUAACUACGUGCCAGCAGCCGCGGUAAUACGUAGGGUGCGAGCGUUAAUCGGAAUUACUGGGCGUAAAGCGUGCGCAGGCGGCUAUGCAAGACAGAUGUGAAAUCCCCGGGCUCAACCUGGGAACUGCAUUUGUGACUGCAUGGCUAGAGUGCGUCAGAGGGAGGUGGAAUUCCGCGUGUAGCAGUGAAAUGCGUAGAGAUGCGGAGGAACACCGAUGGCGAAGGCAGCCUCCUGGGAUGACACUGACGCUCAUGCACGAAAGCGUGGGGAGCAAACAGGAUUAGAUACCCGGGUAGUCC